CUAGCUACAGGCUUAACACAUGCAAGUCGAGGGGCAGCAUGGUCUUAGCUUGCUAAGGCCGAUGGCGACCGACGCACGGGUGAGUAACACGUAUCCAACCUGCCGUCUACUCUUGGACAGCCUUCUGAAAGGAAGAUUAAUACAAGAUGGCAUCAUGAGUCCGCAUGUUCACAUGAUUAAAGGUAUUCCGGUAGACGAUGGGGAUGCGUUCCAUUACAUAGUAGGCGGGGUAACGGCCCACCUAGUCUUCGAUGGAUAGGGGUUCUGAGAGGAAGGUCCCCCACAUUGGAACUGAGACACGGUCCAAACUCCUACGGGAGGCAGCAGUGAGGAAUAUUGGUCAAUGGGCGAGAGCCUGAACCAGCCAAGUAGCGUGAAGGAUGACUGCCCUAUGGGUUGUAAACUUCUUUUAUAAAGGAAUAAAGUCGGGUAUGGAUACCCGUUUGCAUGUACUUUAUGAAUAAGGAUCGGCUAACUCCGUGCCAGCAGCCGCGGUAAUACGGAGGAUCCGAGCGUUAUCCGGAUUUAUUGGGUUUAAAGGGAGCGUAGAUGGAUGUUUAAGUCAGUUGUGAAAGUUUGCGGCUCAACCGUAAAAUUGCAGUUGAUACUGGAUAUCUUGAGUGCAGUUGAGGCAGGCGGAAUUCGUGGUGUAGCGGUGAAAUGCUUAGAUAUCACGAAGAACUCCGAUUGCUAAGGCAGCCUGCUAAGCUGCAACUGACAUUGAGGCUCGAAAGUGUGGGUAUCAAACAGGAUUAGAUACCCUGGUAGUCCACACGGUAAACGAUGAAUACUCGCUGUUUGCGAUAUACGGCAAGCGGCCAAGCGAAAGCGUUAAGUAUUCCACCUGGGGAGUACGCCGGCAACGGUGAAACUCAAAGGAAUUGACGGGGGCCCGCACAAGCGGAGGAACAUGUGGUUUAAUUCGAUGAUACGCGAGGAACCUUACCCGGGCUUAAAUUGCAGAUGAAUUACGGUGAAAGCCGUAAGCCGCAAGGCAUCUGUGAAGGUGCUGCAUGGUUGUCGUCAGCUCGUGCCGUGAGGUGUCGGCUUAAGUGCCGUAACGAGCGCAACCCUUGUUGUCAGUUACUAACAGGUUCCGUUGAGGACUCUGACAAGACUGCCAUCGUAAGAUGUGAGGAAGGUGGGGAUGACGUCAAAUCAGCACGGCCCUUACGUCCGGGGCUACACACGUGUUACAAUGGGGGGUACAGAGGGCCGCUACCACGCGAGUGGAUGCCAAUCCCCAAAACCUCUCUCAGUUCGGACUGGAGUCUGCAACCCGACUCCACGAAGCUGGAUUCGCUAGUAAUCGCGCAUCAGCCACGGCGCGGUGAAUACGUUCCCGGGCCUUGUACACACCGCCCGUCAAGCCAUGGGAGCCGGGGGUACCUGAAGUGCGUAACCGCGAGGAGCGCCCUAGGGUAAAACUGGUGACUGGG
Molecule: ribosomal RNA, 1439 nt
Filed under: uncultured organism
Description: SSU rRNA
Rfam family: Bacterial small subunit ribosomal RNA
Source: RNAcentral